AAUUAGCAUAUUCAUUUUGACGUUUAGCUGCAGAAGAAGCACCGGCUAACUCCGUGCCAGCAGCCGCGGUAAUACGGAGGGUGCGAGCGUUUAAUCGGAAUUACUGGGCGUAAAGCGCAUGCAGGUGGUUUGUUAAGUCAGAUGUGAAAGCCCGGGGCUCAACCUCGGAAUUGCAUUUGAAACUGGCAAACUAGAGUACUGUAGAAGGGGGUAGAAUUUCAGGUGUAGCGGUGAAAUGCGUAGAGAUCUGAAGGAAUACCGGUGGCGAAGGCGGCCCCCUGGACAGAUACUGACACUCAGAUGCGAAAGCGUGGGGAGCAAACAGGAUUAGAUACCCUGGUAG
RNAcentral lists this ribosomal RNA (343 nucleotides) under uncultured bacterium. RNAcentral's name for it is "bacterial SSU rRNA". It matches the Rfam family "Bacterial small subunit ribosomal RNA", at positions 453 to 793 of the family's 1533-position model. The record is from RNAcentral.